CUGCUUCCCUGGUAAGGGUGGUAGCAUGAUUACGAAAGCAAAGCAUUUUAUCAAGGCAAGGCUCAUCUAUUGCACUCCAGGUGUGCUGAUCCCUGAAACUUCCCAAAAUGGUAGAAACUUGACCAUGUAAUUAGUGGUACUGGGGAACUGCAUUACCACUUUCCCUU
Nannospalax galili (Upper Galilee mountains blind mole rat) is the source of this 167-nucleotide small nuclear RNA. RefSeq annotates it as U1 spliceosomal RNA. The transcript has a single exon. Lineage: Eukaryota; Metazoa; Chordata; Mammalia; Rodentia; Spalacidae. The record is from RefSeq and is a predicted model, not a curated record.